This is a long non-coding RNA of Acinonyx jubatus (cheetah), 1164 nucleotides long. RefSeq lists it as uncharacterized. Lineage: Eukaryota; Metazoa; Chordata; Mammalia; Carnivora; Felidae. The record is from RefSeq and is a predicted model, not a curated record. The transcript is spliced from 3 exons.
CUUCCCAUGUCCUCAUCUUGAUGCCCCCUGUGAAAACACCACAUCUACUAAUGAGGGUAAACGGGCAUAGCAUGUGACCAGCACGUGACCAGCAUGUGACCAGGAGUGUUAACAGUUCUGUGGCAGUUACUCAGAGGCAACUGCAGAAUACAUUUAUUUAGGACACCACACAGCCCUAGGACACACAGAAGACAGAAAUCUUUGAAACCAAAAGGUGCCUGAAUUAAUGGAGCUGACAUGCAGCCAGCAGUAAACGGCAAAGGACCAAUGAAAACAAUCACCGUGUCCCGUGUCAAUUCUGUUUCCAGGCUCUCGUCUAAGCUCUGCCAGGAAUGGACGGAAGGGAGAAAGACAUAGGCCCUCUCAGCUGGCUGGAACAGCAAGCAAAAUGCAUCAGUUGGCAGAAUCCUGCCAAUGUUCCAAGGAAACCUGAAGCGGGUUCCCACCCCCACCCCUCCAUGGAUGCCCGUGGAAGACAGAGCUCCAUGGAACCAUGAUAUUAAGUUGCAGACUCUGCCUGUUCGUAUAGACCAGAGCUUUUCUGUGACAUUACUGUCAAACAGCCCCCUGUGUGACUAAUAUUUUUAACAGCAUGCUAUUUAAAAUUUGACAAGGAUAUAAUAAUUCAUUCUUCAGAUAGUCAACAUACUAUGAGAGUAAGUCAUGUCUUCAAAGUAUCUUUCAAAGGGGCUAUUAAAAGUAGGUUAAAGUUUUCCCCCUACAGCAUGCAAUUUCAUUUUGGCUUUACCACUUCAACCACAUAAAAUUAAAUUUUGACUUGAGAGUGACCUACUGAAAAUUAGAUGGAAAAAUAAGGGGAAAGAUUUAAAUUACUGAUUCAAAGGAAACUAACAUGUCUGUCUGCAAUUUAGCAUACAGUUUGCUGAGCCUUCCGAGAAUCUUGUUUCUGGUAGUCACUAUUUUCCUCUUAGGAUUCAGAUUGUAUUUUUAAUGGAAAUGUUGUAGAACUUAAUGGAAUGUAAUAUCUUGUGAUAUAUAGACUUAAGGCAACACAGGAAAGAAUUAGCCACACAUAUUUUCUGCCAUAAUCCUCCUCUCUACUCCCAGCCUUCUUGUAACCUGUGAUCUAGCCACCCAAAUCAACUAGACAUUCUCUCAAAUAAACUUAUGCUCUCUAAAGCUCUGAUAAAGUUGUUACCUGCU